GACGAACGCUGGCGGCGUGCUUAACACAUGCAAGUCGAACGGAAAGGCCCUGCUUUUGUGGGGUGCUCGAGUGGCGAAAGGGGGAGUAAAACGUGAGUAACAUGCCCUUGACUUUGGGGUAACUUCAGGAAACUGGGGCUAAUACCGGAUAGGAGCUCCUGCUGCAUGGUGGGGGUUGGAAAGUUGCGGUGGUUGGGGAUGGACUCGCGGCUGAUCAGCUUGUUGGUGGGGUAGUGGCGUACCAAGGCAUGGACGGGUAGCCGGCCUGAGAGGGUGACCGGCCACAUUGGGACUGGGAUACGGCCCAGACGCCUACGGGAGGCAGCAGUGGGGAAUAUUGCACGAUGGGCGGAAGCCGGAUGCAGGAACGCCGCGUGCGGGAUGACGGCCUGCGGGUUGUAAACCGCUUUCGCCUGUGACGAAGCGUGAGUGACGGUAAUGGGUAAAGAAGCACCGGCUAACUACGUG
This 468-nucleotide ribosomal RNA is filed under the name uncultured bacterium. RNAcentral's name for it is "partial 16S ribosomal RNA". It matches the Rfam family "Bacterial small subunit ribosomal RNA", at positions 28 to 507 of the family's 1533-position model. The record is from RNAcentral.